GGCGGACGGGUGAGUAACACGUGGGCAACCUGCCUGUAAGACUGGGAUAACUUCGGGAAACCGGAGCUAAUACCGGAUAAUCCUUUUCCUCUCAUGAGGAAAAGCUGAAAGACGGUUUACGCUGUCACUUACAGAUGGGCCCGCGGCGCAUUAGCUAGUUGGUGAGGUAACGGCUCACCAAGGCGACGAUGCGUAGCCGACCUGAGAGGGUGAUCGGCCACACUGGGACUGAGACACGGCCCAGACUCCUACGGGAGGCAGCAGUAGGGAAUCUUCCGCAAUGGACGAAAGUCUGACGGAGCAACGCCGCGUGAGUGAUGAAGGUUUUCGGAUCGUAAAACUCUGUUGUUAGGGAAGAACAAGUACAAGAGUAACUGCUUGUACCUUGACGGUACCUAACCAGAAAGCCACGGCUAACUACGUGCCAGCAGCCGCGGUAAUACGUAGGUGGCAAGCGUUGUCCGGAAUUAUUGGGCGUAAAGCGCGCGCAGGCGGUCCUUUAAGUCUGAUGUGAAAGCCCACGGCUCAACCGUGGAGGGUCAUUGGAAACUGGGGGACUUGAGUGCAGAAGAGAAGAGUGGAAUUCCACGUGUAGCGGUGAAAAUGCGUAGAGAUGUGGAGGAACACCAGUGGCGAAA
RNAcentral lists this ribosomal RNA (638 nucleotides) under Niallia circulans. RNAcentral's name for it is "bacterial SSU rRNA". It matches the Rfam family "Bacterial small subunit ribosomal RNA", at positions 97 to 720 of the family's 1533-position model. Lineage: Bacteria; Bacillati; Bacillota; Bacilli; Caryophanales; Bacillaceae. The record is from RNAcentral.